CUGAAAAGUAACCAAUCAAAUUUAAUUGAUCAUCCACGUGUAUCUCAUAAUCGACUUAUUGAUAUAAUGGUUCUCCAAGUUAUCUAUACUUUUUGUCUGCGAUAUCACUUCGGUGGAAGCGGGCGUAAAAUACAACUAACUAAGAAGAAGUAUCUAUACUUUAGUCAUUGCGACAAAUUCUUUCUUUGAUAUUAUAUCAGCGACAUUCAGUUAGAUGUAGUGACGUUAGCAUCAACAGAGUGCUUUAGCCGUGAUAUUUUUAAAAAAAAAAUUAUAAUGGUCACAUAGAAUACCAGACCGCAGGUUUGUAAAUUUUUACAAAAAAUAAAACCGUGUAUUUAAUUUAGCAUGUAUAUAUUGCUUCUAUGUAUAUAAUAAUUCGUUUCGUUUAAAACAGUCAGAUUUAGAACCACUGCCACUGACUGCACCGAAAUUCUAUUUAUAUAAUGGCGCCACAAAGAAAUUUUUUUUGAUGUGUUCUAAAAGUGUUCCGCUAAUUCAGCAAUCUAAUGAAUCUGUCUUAAUUUUUCUGAAAUCGUGCUUAAUUAUUAUUAGCUAAUCGGCGCUACACCGUUGUUCAAAUACUUAUAAUUGCAAGAAACCCCCGACUAGGACCAGCAGUCAUUGAUGUUAGCAUAUGUACUACACAAAGAAAAACAGUUUCCAUAUUAGAUGCCAUAGCAAAUCAAAG
Long non-coding RNA from Patella vulgata (common limpet), 691 nucleotides. RefSeq lists it as uncharacterized. NCBI's taxonomy places the organism in Eukaryota, Metazoa, Mollusca, Gastropoda, Patellidae. The transcript is spliced from 3 exons. The record is from RefSeq and is a predicted model, not a curated record.